RNAcentral lists this ribosomal RNA (497 nucleotides) under uncultured bacterium. Its description in RNAcentral is "partial 16S ribosomal RNA". It matches the Rfam family "Bacterial small subunit ribosomal RNA", at positions 28 to 507 of the family's 1533-position model. The record is from RNAcentral.
GAUGAACGCUGGCGGCGUGCCUAAUACAUGCAAGUCGAGCGAACGGACGAGAAGCUUGCUUCUCUGAUGUUAUCGGCGGACGGGUGAGUAACACGUGGAUAACCUACCUAUAAGACUGGGAUAACUUCGGGAAACCGGAGCUAAUACCGGAUAAUAUUUUGAACCGCAUGGUUCAAAAGUGAAAGACGGUCUUGCUGUCACUUAUAGAUGGAUCCGCGCUGCAUUAGCUAGUUGGUAAGGUAACGGCUUACCAAGGCAACGAUGCAUAGCCGACCUGUGAGGGUGAUCGGCCACACUGGAACUGAGACACGGUCCAGACUCCUACGGGAGGCAGCAGUAGGGAAUCUUCCGCAAUGGGCGAAAGCCUGACGGAGCAACGCCGCGUGAGUGAUGAAGGUCUUCGGAUCGUAAAACUCUGUUAUUAGGGAAGAACAUAUGUGUAAGUAACUGUGCACAUCUUGACGGUACCUAAUCAGAAAGCCACGGCUAACUACGUG